CGCUUCUCUUCCUUCCACAAUAAAUCAAUCAUCAUGCCUCUGUGUCCUAUAGGUAACAUGCAUAGUCGCAUUUGUCAUCCAUUCUUAUGAUUAUUCAGAUUGAGUUAUUUGGGAGAAAAACGACAAAAAAAGGAGUCCGGAUAUGAUUCCGUCAUCGGACUGACUUUUAGUCAUAGAUAAGACUUCCGGUUUUAAAGAUGCACAAAUACAACCA
RNAcentral lists this long non-coding RNA (214 nucleotides) under Mytilus galloprovincialis (Mediterranean mussel). Lineage: Eukaryota; Metazoa; Mollusca; Bivalvia; Mytilida; Mytilidae. The record is from RNAcentral.